RNAcentral lists this ribosomal RNA (349 nucleotides) under Culicoides sp. 1 AVS-2017. RNAcentral's name for it is "partial 16S ribosomal RNA". The record is from RNAcentral. Lineage: Eukaryota; Metazoa; Arthropoda; Insecta; Diptera; Ceratopogonidae.
GGCUAGAAUGAAUGGUUAGAUGAGAUACAAGCUAUUUUUAUUUUAUAUAUAAAUGAAUUUUAAUUUUUAGUAAAAAUGCUAAAAUAAAAAAAUUAGACGAGAAGACCCUAUAAAUCUUUAUUUUAUUUAUUUUUAUUAUAUUUGUAGAAUAUACAAUAUUUUAUUUUAAAUAAAAUUUUAUUGGGGUGAUAAUGAAAUUUAUAAAACUUUUAUUUUUUUAAAACAAUUAUUGUUGUAUUAAUGAUCCAUUAUUAAUGAUUAAAAAAUUAAGUUACUUUAGGGAUAACAGCGUAAUUAUUUUAAAGAGUUCUUAUCGAUAAAAUAGAUUGCGACCUCGAUGUUGAAUUAA